RNAcentral lists this ribosomal RNA (253 nucleotides) under uncultured bacterium. Its description in RNAcentral is "partial 16S ribosomal RNA". It matches the Rfam family "Bacterial small subunit ribosomal RNA", at positions 524 to 776 of the family's 1533-position model. The record is from RNAcentral.
UACGGAGGGUGCAAGCGUUAUCCGGAUUCACUGGGUUCAAAGGGUGCGUAGGCGGGUAUAUAAGUCAGUGGUGAAAGCUCCGAGCUUAACUUGGAAACUGCCAUUGAUACUGUAUAUCUUGAAUAUCAUAGAGGUUAGCGGAAUGUUGCAUGUAGCGGUGAAAUGCUUAGAUAUGUUACGGAACACCAAUUGCGAAGGCAGCUAACUAUGCGAUUAUUGACGCUGAGGCACGAAAGCGUGGGGAGCAAACAGG